Molecule: non-coding RNA, 81 nt
Organism: Caenorhabditis elegans
Lineage: Eukaryota; Metazoa; Nematoda; Chromadorea; Rhabditida; Rhabditidae
Source: Ensembl
UUUAGGUUACUGUAGCCCCACUUCUGUGUAAACAACGCCCAGUGCACAUGACCUUACGACAAAAUGCACAGAAUUGUCAAA